Molecule: ribosomal RNA, 552 nt
Filed under: uncultured bacterium
Lineage: Bacteria
Description: partial 16S ribosomal RNA
Rfam family: Bacterial small subunit ribosomal RNA
Source: RNAcentral
UGGGGAAUAUUGCACAAUGGGCGCAAGCCUGAUGCAGCCAUGCCGCGUGUGUGAAGAAGGCCUUCGGGUUGUAAAGCACUUUCAGCGAGGAGGAAGGUGGUGAGCUUAAUACGCUCAUCAAUUGACGUUACUCGCAGAAGAAGCACCGGCUAACUCCGUGCCAGCAGCCGCGGUAAUACGGAGGGUGCAAGCGUUAAUCGGAAUUACUGGGCGUAAAGCGCACGUAGGCGGUUUGUUAAGUCAGAUGUGAAAUCCCCGGGCUCAACCUGGGAACUGCAUUUGAAACUGGCAAGCUAGAGUCUCGUAGAGGGGGGUAGAAUUCCAGGUGUAGCGGUGAAAUGCGUAGAGAUCUGGAGGAAUACCGGUGGCGAAGGCGGCCCCCCUGGACGAAGACUGACGCUCAGGUGCGAAAGCGUGGGGCAGCAAACAGGAUUAGAUACCCUGGUAGUCCAGCGCUGUAAACGAUGUCGAUUUGGAGGUUGUGCCCCUUGAGGCGUGGCUUCCGGAGCUAACGCGUUAAAUCGACCGCCUGGGGAGUACGGCCGCAAGGUU